CCUACGGGUGGCAGCAGUGAGGAAUAUUGGUCAAUGGACGAGAGUCUGAACCAGCCAAGUAGCGUGAAGGAUGACUGCCCUAUGGGUUGUAAACUUCUUUUAUAAAGGAAUAAAACGAGGCACGUGUGCCUUGUUGCAUGUAAUUUAUGAAUAAGGAUCGGCUAACUCCGGGCCAGCAGCCGCGGUAAUACGGAGGAUGCGAGCGUUAUCCGGAUUUAUUGGGUUUAAAGGGUUCGUAGGCGGGCUUUUAAGUCAGCGGUAAAAAUUCGGGGCUCAACCCCGUCCGGUCGUUGAAACUGGGGGCGUUGAGUGGGCGAGAAGAAGGCGGAAUGAGUGGUGUAGCGGUGAAAUGCAUAGAUAUCACGCAGAACCCCGAUUGCGAAGGCAGCCUUCCGGCGCCCUACUGACGCUGAGGCACGAAAGUGCGGGGAUCGAACAGGAUUAGAUACCCUUGUAGUC
This 459-nucleotide ribosomal RNA is filed under the name uncultured bacterium. RNAcentral's name for it is "partial 16S ribosomal RNA". It matches the Rfam family "Bacterial small subunit ribosomal RNA", at positions 338 to 795 of the family's 1533-position model. The record is from RNAcentral.